UACGGGGGGGGGCAAGCGUUGUUCGGAAUUACUGGGCGUAAAGGCUCGUAGGCGGCCAACUAAGUCGGAUGUGAAAUCUCCAGGCUCAACCUGGAGGGGUCAUUCGAUACUGCCGUGACUAGAGGUCGGUAGGGGAGUGUGGAAUUCCUGGUGGAGCGGUGAAAUGCGCAGAUAUCGAGGAGGAACACCCGUAGCGAAGGCGGCACUCUGGGCCGAUACUGACACUGAGGAGCGAAAGCGUGGGGAGCGAACAGG
Molecule: ribosomal RNA, 255 nt
Filed under: uncultured bacterium
Lineage: Bacteria
Description: partial 16S ribosomal RNA
Rfam family: Bacterial small subunit ribosomal RNA
Source: RNAcentral